AGAUUGAACGCUGGCGGCAGGCCUAACACAUGCAAGUCGAGCGGCAGCACGGGUACUUGUACCUGGUGGCGAGCGGCGGACGGGUGAGUAAUGCCUAGGAAUCUGCCUGGUAGUGGGGGAUAACGCUCGGAAACGGACGCUAAUACCGCAUACGUCCUACGGGAGAAAGCGGACGGGUACCGUUCGGGCCUUGCCGACUAGUCA
This 204-nucleotide ribosomal RNA is filed under the name uncultured soil bacterium. Its description in RNAcentral is "partial 16S ribosomal RNA". It matches the Rfam family "Bacterial small subunit ribosomal RNA", at positions 26 to 223 of the family's 1533-position model. The record is from RNAcentral.